AGAGAGAGACAUGCGCGCAUAUCAAUAAGCGGAGGAAAAGAAACUAACAAGGAUUCCCUUAGUAACGGCGAGUGAAGCGGGAAGAGCUCAAAUUUGAAAUCUUCAAGGUUUUACCUUGACGAAUUGUAGUUUAAAGAAGUGUUUUCUGCUGAAGUUUUGGUAAAAGUUCUUUGGAAUAGGACAUCAUAGAGGGUGAGAAUCCCGUAUUUGACCAUUAUUUUCAGCUUUGUGAUACACUUUCAAAGAGUCGGAUUGUUUGGGAAUGCAGUCCAAAAUGGGUGGUAAAUUUCAUCUAAAGCUAAAUAUUGGCGAGAGACCGAUAGCGAACAAGUACCGUGAGGGAAAGAUGAAAAGAACUUUGAAAAGAGAGUUAAACAGUACGUGAAAUUGUCAAAAGGGAAGCGUUUGACACCAGUGUUGUUUUCUCGAAAAUCAAUUAAAAUGGCUCGAUUUUGUAUUGCUUGAGACCUUAAAAGCUCACUGUACAUUUUUCGUGUACUUUUCUUAAUGCACUUUUCGUUUAACAAGUCAACAUCAGUUUCUUUUGUUGUAAAAGGGUCAUUGGAAGGUGGCUUUCUUUUCGGAGAAAGUGUUUAUAGCCUUUGGCCUCUGCAAUCGGAGAGACUGAGGUCUGCAGCGUAGACUCUUCGGGGUUAGAUACAUUUGUGCUAAGUUAUAGCUUUUUAUAGACAACUUGUUGACUAUAAUUAGUCUUGUAGCUUACUCGCUUAUGCUAUUUUACCUACGCUUAGGAUGUUGAAGAUGUAGCACAUCAU
Molecule: ribosomal RNA, 776 nt
Filed under: uncultured Neocallimastigales
Lineage: Eukaryota; Fungi; Neocallimastigomycota; Neocallimastigomycetes; Neocallimastigales
Description: partial large subunit ribosomal RNA
Rfam family: Eukaryotic large subunit ribosomal RNA
Source: RNAcentral